GUUAGCAAAAUCCUUUUGUCUAUCCACCAUUAAAUCCCCACCGUUCACUCUGAUCAAACAUGCUGGAAGUCGUUCAAUCUUUUCAUGGUGUUGGUCUACGCCAGGAUUACAAUACUUGUGGUCUCUGUCACACCCUGAUGGCAACGCCAAAGACCACAUAAGAUCAGUUCCCGCCAAACUCAAACUUCGGUCAUCUACCACACCAAUUUCCCCUUGCGUACGCUCAACCCCACCAAAAAAAGGUUGGUCAAUUAUAAGCCCUGCAAUCAUAAGCGGCUCAAGAUCAAGAUCAGGUGCACGUAGACCCGCGUUGUACACUAGGUUUCCUCCAGCACUAGUACCCAUUAAGUACACUUUAGAAAAGUCAGCAACAUCAGUCAACCUGGGCAAAAAAGUAAUUUAAUUUUAUUACUAUAAAGUAUAAUAAAAGUAACAUUUGUCGUUAAAAAAAAGUAACAUCAGUCAACCAGUCGUCGCUAGUGUUGACUUUUGACUUCACCGCCUGGUCCCGCACCCAAAGGAUUGCGUCCACACCGUCUUCAUACGCCGCAGGGAGACGGUGUUCAGGGGCAAGGCGGUACUCGACGGAUACGACGAGUGCCGGAGAGUUAGCGGAUAUGUUGGAGCAGGUAAGGUGUAUGGGGGUGCUGGCGGCGCUGACGUAGACGAAACCGCCACCGUGAAAGUAGAUGAUGAUGGGGAGUUUUUGGGUGGAGGGUGCGAUGGGACGGGGUGGCCGGUGAGGAUGGAAAGGUGGGUCGGGCCAGAGAUCCAUCGGGGUUUAAGGUCAAGUUCAGGAUUUUGAAACGAUCCGGAUUGGGUGGUUGAGAUUGAGAUGCCAUUUUUAUUGGCUACAAAACAUGAAAAUAUGUUUUUUUCUUUUUUUGGAGGGAAAUAUAUAUAGAAGAUGUGUAACGUGAGAAGAGAACGGUUCGGUAGAGU
Molecule: long non-coding RNA, 942 nt
Filed under: Helianthus annuus (common sunflower)
Lineage: Eukaryota; Viridiplantae; Streptophyta; Magnoliopsida; Asterales; Asteraceae
Description: hypothetical non coding rna
Source: RNAcentral